GCCUCCGUGGCGCAAUCGGCUAGCGCGUUCGGCUGUUAACCGAAAGGUUGGUGGUUCGAGCCCAUACGGGGGCG
This 74-nucleotide transfer RNA is filed under the name Trichonephila clavata. It matches the Rfam family "tRNA". From Rfam's summary of the family: Transfer RNA (tRNA) molecules are approximately 80 nucleotides in length. Their secondary structure includes four short double-helical elements and three loops (D, anti-codon, and T loops). Lineage: Eukaryota; Metazoa; Arthropoda; Arachnida; Araneae; Nephilidae. The record is from Rfam by way of RNAcentral.